CCCAAUUCAGCCAUUAACGCAUUCGCAAAACUUCAGAUCUCAAAUAUUAAGCCAUAUCAGAUCAUGGACAUGCCUCUUCUUCUCUUUCUCGUCAUUAACGCCUUGGCAUAACUGAAAUCGGGUGAAAUUGCAGUCACCUGAAAACCCCUGUCCCAAAAGGGCCUUAAAAUCUGCUUUCCCCUUAUUGAAUCCAUAGAAUUUGACACAAUUAACAAACACCCAUUUGGGUGUGAAUUAAACAAAGCCUCUAUUGUAAACAAUUCUCUAUCACCAAAUGACUAAGAAGAAAUCCAAGUCAUGAAAAAAC
RNAcentral lists this long non-coding RNA (307 nucleotides) under Panax ginseng (ginseng). Its description in RNAcentral is "long non-coding RNA (PGIN_LNC007290)". The record is from RNAcentral. Lineage: Eukaryota; Viridiplantae; Streptophyta; Magnoliopsida; Apiales; Araliaceae.